Molecule: RNA transcript, 2340 nt
Organism: Acomys russatus (golden spiny mouse)
Lineage: Eukaryota; Metazoa; Chordata; Mammalia; Rodentia; Muridae
Gene: Msl1
Gene name: MSL complex subunit 1
Exons: 10
Source: RefSeq, a predicted model, not a curated record
GGGCCCGGCCGGGCCAGGGGGGGCCGAAGCGAGCUCCGGGGAUGAGCUCGGGGGCGGCUGGGUGCGAGCUCCUGCCUCUGCGGCGAAGGCGACGGUGGCGGCAGCAGAGGCGGCGGCGGGGCCCCCAUGGGUCGGCGGCGGGCCUCAGCCGCGGCCUCCACUUCUCCGCUCGCCGGCGGCAUGGCGCCGGGGCCUCGGAGAAGCCGCGUUAGCGGAGGCCCGCGGCCGCUCUGCUGAGGCGAGCCCGCCAAACUCCCCUCCCCCUCCUCCGUCCUCGACCCCCCGCACCUCGCCCCUUCCCCACCCCCUCCUCCGUCUCGGUCCCCCGCGCCGCCGCUCCGGACCACUAUGACCAUGAGAUCCGCAGUGUUCAAGGCGGCCGCGGCCCCUGCCGGCGGCAACCCCGAGCAGCGACUGGACUACGAGCGGGCUGCGGCGCUGGGCGGGCCCGAGGACGAGUCCGGGGCGGCCGAAGCCCACUUCCUCCCCCGGCAUCGUAAGCUCAAGGAGCCGGGGCCCCCGCUGGCCUCCUCUCAGGGCGGGAGCCCCGCGCCCUCUCCAGCCGGCUGCGGCGGCAAGGGCCGGGGCUUGUUACUCCCGGCCGGGGCGGCCCCCGGGCAGCAGGAAGAGAGCUGGGGCGGUUCGGUGCCCUUGCCCUGUCCGCCCCCGGCCACCAAACAAGCCGGCAUCGGUGGGGAGCCAGUCGCAGCCGGCGCCGGCUGCAGCCCCCGGCCCAAGUAUCAGGCGGUGCUGCCCAUUCAGACGGGCUCUCUCGUGGCGGCGGCCAAAGAGCCUACGCCCUGGGCUGGGGACAAGGGUGGGGCGGCUCCCCCAGCUGCCACCGCCUCGGACCCGGCGGGACCCCCACCACUACCUCUGCCCGGGCCGCCGCCACCCCUCGCGCCCACCGCCACCGCCGGGACCCUGGCGGCCAGCGAGGGCAGAUGGAAGAGUAUGAGGAAGAGCCCUCUCGGGGGUGGCGGCGGCUCGGGAGCCUCCAGUCAGGCCGCCUGCCUCAAACAGAUCCUCCUGCUGCAAUUGGACCUGAUCGAACAGCAGCAGCAGCAGUUGCAGGCCAAGGAAAAGGAGAUCGAGGAGCUGAAGUCCGAGAGAGACACGCUCCUUGCUCGGAUUGAACGUAUGGAAAGGCGGAUGCAGCUGGUAAAGAGGGACAAUGAGAAAGAAAGACACAAGCUGUUUCAGGGCUAUGAAACUGAAGAGAGAGAGGAAACAGAAUUGUCUGAGAAAAUUAAACUGGAGCGCCAGCCGGAGCUUUGUGAAACAUCCCAGGCUCUGCCUUCCAAGCCUUUCUCAUGUGGCCGGAGUGGAAAGGGACACAAAAGGAAAACCCCAUUUGGAAAUACAGAAAGAAAGACUCCUGUAAAAAAGCUGGCUCCUGAAUUUUCAAAAGUCAAAACAAAAACUCCUAAGCACUCUCCCAUUAAAGAGGAACCCUGCGGUUCCAUAUCAGAAACUGUUUGUAAACGUGAAUUGAGGAGCCAAGAAACCCCAGAAAAGCCCCGGUCUUCAGUGGAUACCCCACCAAGACUCUGUACUCCCCAAAAGGGAUCCAGCGCCCACCCCAAGGAGAAAGCCUUCUCAAGUGAGAUGGAAGAUUUGCCGUACCUUUCCACCACAGAAAUGUAUUUGUGUCGUUGGCACCAGCCUCCCCCAUCACCGUUACCAUUACGGGAAUCCUCUCCAAAGAAGGAGGAGACUGUAGCAAGGUGUCUGAUGCCAUCAAGUGUUGCAGGAGAGACUUCAGUCUUGGCUGUUCCUUCUUGGAGGGACCACUCAGUAGAGCCUCUAAGGGACCCAAAUCCUUCAGAUAUUUUGGAGAACCUGGAUGACAGCGUCUUCGCAAAGAGGCAUGCAAAGCUGGAGCUGGAUGAGAAGAGGAGGAAAAGGCCUUUUCACGGAUGCCCCCCCUCAGUACUACUAUCUGUGGACGCCAACACAUACUCUAGACUGCUAGACCCAAAGAGUUCUUCUCAACCAGAUGGGAUAUUCAGAGGAUCAGGGAACAAAGAAUUUUACAGCGACUGCAGCUCAGAAUGUAUAAAAAGAAAGGAAUUCAGGAAUCUGAGCCUGAGGUUACCUCAUUUUUCCCUGAGCCAGAUGACGUUGAAAGUUUGAUGAUCACCCCCUUCUUGCCUGUUGUAGCAUUUGGACGACCAUUACCAAAAUUAACUCCACAGAACUUUGAGCUACCCUGGUUGGACGAGCGAAGCCGUUGCAGGUUGGAGAUCCAGAAGAAGCAAACACCUCACCGGACGUGUAGGAAGUAGCUGUGCUGCAAGAGCCCUGUCUUCAGAUAGUUGUAGCAUGCCGUUCCAAGAG